This 402-nucleotide long non-coding RNA is filed under the name Nicotiana benthamiana. Its description in RNAcentral is "long non-coding RNA (NBEN_LNC024508)". The record is from RNAcentral. Lineage: Eukaryota; Viridiplantae; Streptophyta; Magnoliopsida; Solanales; Solanaceae.
UUUUCUAUAUCCUUUCUGUCAAUUUCAUUGUACUCUUUUCUCCCUUUCGGCACCAAUGGUCUAAGUUUCUUCAUGGGAACAUGUGGACCAUCACAAAUGAUAUCCACAGCUCUCAAUCUUCUGCCAUCAUAAAAUCAUGCAUCCGGGUCUUUCACCAGCCGUAGUAUUGACCAUGAAUCUGGGAUGUCUACAGGUUGAUUGUCCUUCUUCAAAGUUUGGUGGAACAACCAUUGAGGAUCCUUCCUAGGUGUUAGCCUGAUAGGAGAAACCCACUCUGAUACCAAUUGUUGGUUUAUACGAGUCCACCAAACUAUAGAGUACCCGGUCCUCUAUAAAAUGAUACGUAAAAUGCAGUAAAGACUGAAUGUAGAGAAGGCAAGAGAUUUUCUACGUGGAAAAAUC